This 258-nucleotide ribosomal RNA is filed under the name uncultured bacterium. RNAcentral describes it as "partial 16S ribosomal RNA". It matches the Rfam family "Bacterial small subunit ribosomal RNA", at positions 1235 to 1500 of the family's 1533-position model. The record is from RNAcentral.
AGGUACAGAGGGCGAGCUACCCAGCAAUGGGAUGCGAAUCUCGAAAGCCUGUCUCAGUUCGGAUUGGAGGCCGAAACCCGCCUCCAUGAAGUUGGAUUCGCUAGUAAUCGCGCAUCAGCCAUGGCGCGGUGAAUACGUUCCCGGGCCUUGUACACACCGCCCGUCAAGCCAUGGGAGCCGGGGGUGCCUGAAGUUCGUGACCGCAAGGAGCGACCUAGGGCAAAACUGGUGACUGGGGCUAAGUCGUAACAAGGUAAC